Echinops telfairi (small Madagascar hedgehog) is the source of this 587-nucleotide long non-coding RNA. RefSeq lists it as uncharacterized. Lineage: Eukaryota; Metazoa; Chordata; Mammalia; Afrosoricida; Tenrecidae. The transcript is spliced from 4 exons. The record is from RefSeq and is a predicted model, not a curated record.
GGGGCUUCAAACAGUUAACGCGGAAGUCAAUUAUCUUUUUAUUCAAUUUUUUGUGAGUGUUUUGAAGGCUCCUCCCCUCAUGCAGCGAACUGGAAUGCCGUUGUGAGAUAAAAUGGGCCCGUGUGAGGACGGCGGUGCCGGAGAGCUAAAAGAGCCUUCUGUAAGCAGUAUGAAGUCCUAAUUCUAGGAAGACCUCGGGUAGCAUUGGAUGGUAGUGGAUGGAUGGAUGGAUUUUAACACUGUUAGCCGUGGUCUGGUGCUUCUCAGUCCUUUGAUGCCGCUCCGUCUAAAGGUUCUGGAAGGAUGAGACCCAGGCAACUCCAAAGCUCUUGCUUAAGCAUCCAGCAUCUUUACUCUCCAUCUGAGUCAGCCUCAGGCGGCGAAAAGAGAAGCCAUCUUGACCAAGAGAACUUCCUUAACACAAAUAUUUCUGACACGAUUUCCAGCCUUGGAGAGACGUUCGUUGUAACUUCCUGGACACUGAUGUGGAGAAUGGAACUUGAAGAACUCUCUGGAACAUCUGAUUUGAGGGCGGCCUUUGGGUCCCGGAGUGUGAAUUGUGGACGGUAGACCUUGGCAAGUCUGGA